GGUUGGUCCGAAUACAGUGGUGUUUACAAAUAAUUGAUCACAACCAGUUACAGAUUCCUUUGUUCCUUCUCCACUCCCACUGCUUCACUUGACCAGCCUUUA
Molecule: Y RNA, 102 nt
Filed under: Prolemur simus (greater bamboo lemur)
Lineage: Eukaryota; Metazoa; Chordata; Mammalia; Primates; Lemuridae
Description: Y RNA (ENSPSMG00000003726.1)
Rfam family: Y RNA
About the family: Y RNAs are components of the Ro ribonucleoprotein particle (Ro RNP), in association with Ro60 and La proteins.
Source: Rfam by way of RNAcentral